GGGGGUGUACUGGAUUCGACAUUCGGUCAGAGGCGGUAUAAGCACGUCGUAGGCUCGGCUACGUUAUCAACGGAACGUUAAAAUUAAACGCAAACAAAACUCAAAAGAGUGCCGGUAACAUGGCACUCGCCUUCGCUGCUUAAUUAGUGGCGCGUCGACCCGGGGUUUUCCGUUCCCUCGGUAAUCGGCGUCAGAAAAACGGACAACGCAAUCCGAACGCUCGAUAAGAUUGCUGUCACUUAGAGCUCAUCAAUCCGAGGUUUGCCGGUGAACCGAAGUGCGAAAAACCCAAUCACCCGCUAAACGUGUAGAAAGUGCCGAUUAAGAACGUUUGGACCGGGGUUCAACUCCCCGCAUCUCCACCA
RNAcentral lists this transfer-messenger RNA (365 nucleotides) under Clostridia bacterium. It matches the Rfam family "transfer-messenger RNA". From Rfam's summary of the family: Bacterial tmRNA, also known as 10Sa RNA or SsrA, is named for its dual tRNA and mRNA-like properties. The record is from RNAcentral. Lineage: Bacteria; Bacillati; Bacillota; Clostridia.